UACGUAGGGGGCAAGCGUUGUCCGGAUUUAUUGGGCGUAAAGAGCUCGUAGGCGGUUCCGUAAGUCGUGAAUGCAAAUCUCUGGGCUCAACCCAGAAUCGCUUCCGAUACUGCGGUGACUGGAGUCCGGUAGGGGAGUGUGGAAUUCCUGGUGUAGCGGUGAAAUGCGCAGAUAUCAGGAGGAACACCGGUGGCGAAGGCGGCAUCCUGGACCAACACUGACGCUGAUGAGCGAAAGCCAGGGGAGCAAACGGG
This 254-nucleotide ribosomal RNA is filed under the name uncultured bacterium. RNAcentral describes it as "partial 16S ribosomal RNA". It matches the Rfam family "Bacterial small subunit ribosomal RNA", at positions 524 to 776 of the family's 1533-position model. The record is from RNAcentral.